Molecule: long non-coding RNA, 1904 nt
Organism: Ictalurus punctatus (channel catfish)
Lineage: Eukaryota; Metazoa; Chordata; Actinopteri; Siluriformes; Ictaluridae
Source: Ensembl
GAGAGAGAGAGAGAGAGAGAGAGCGAGAAUCACUGAGCUCUGUUCAUUAACCUCAUCUCACUGUGCACCCCUGUACAUACACCUCCUCAAUCUUGGCAGACACAGCAUGAGCUCUAGUGGAUAGUGUGAGCAGGAGUAGGUGUGUAUACGUGUGUGUCUGUGUGUGAGAGCUUUUUAUUUUUUUCCCUUCUUUUCCUGUGUUUGUGUGCAGUGUUGUUUAUAUGUUUGAUGUUUGUUUUCUGUUUUAAUGUUUUGCUGUGUUUGUCCCUAUAUCUGCUGGUGCUCUUGUGAGGCGGGUUUCCCCAGACCUUGAUCCACCAUGCAUGAUGUACAGUAUCUCAUAAAAUGGUCCGUUUGGCCUGCUCUUGGUGGCCCGGGGGCACUGAAUAAAGCACAGCAGAAAGAGGAGGCCGGAGCAGAACCGCAGGGCGCCAUUGUUGCUCUGCUCACACUGCAAGCUAAGCGGGAGAUGGCAGGACUGCAGGGGUCAAAUAAAACCGCACAAACACUCCAGAGCUGCUGUGGUCGUGGACUAAAAGUGGACUUUUUCUCUUUUUCAGGCUGAUUGCCAUGACCAAAUUAUGUUACAGUAUUGCUAAUGUAUUUAAAUCUGGUACAUCUUAAAUCAGCCAAAUAAUAUAACGUAUACCCAAAGCUAAUGUUUUUAUGUGCACUUUUUUAAAGAUGGAGUACACAAUAUUCUCUCUCGCUCUGUCUAUUUUUGCACGGCUUAGUAUUUUGUUACUUUUUGCCAUAUAGUCCCCUCCGAAACUAUUGGAACAGCAAGGCCAAUGCGCUUGUUUUUAUGCAGUUAUUGCAAGCAAUGGAUAUGCAACCAAAUAUGAAGUUUAAUUUACUUCAAGACUUAUCGGUUCUUAUACUUUUGCUCCCCUAAAAAUUGGGUGGUCUGAUACAAAAGGUUCUCUGUUUUAUGUUGUUUAACACAUCUGGAUGUAAAUACCAGGAAAUAAAAGCUGAAAUCCCAAACUAUCGUUUUUUUUCCUCGUCUCAUCUUUUGAUCUCAGAACCAAAUGUCUUUGGUGUACAGCACCAAAUGACUUGGGCUUGCCGUUCCAAUAGUUGUGGAGAGGACUGUAUGUCUUUGAUAUCCACUUUGUAUUUAUGUGCAAAUUAGAAAUGUAAAUUGUAAUGUAAAUUGGCAGAUUUUCUGUGUGUUUGGAAAUCUUUUAAAUAAAUUUUUAAAAAUUAUUAUAUAACUUGUUCAAGGCUUUAGUUGUUUCACGUAUAAUACCCAGGAUUUCUAAUUAUCAGACUACUACAAAUAUGUCAGGUUUUGAGGAAAAAGAUGUAGACUGAAGAGUUAAAUCCAUCAGUGACACGGGUGAUUUUAUCUUUUUUUUUUUUUUUUUUUAAUAUACAAAAUUCUUCUUUCUGAAAUCAUGCAUAAAGGGCCUUUAAAGUCUCAUUCACUCCACAACAACUUAAAUAUUUGGUUUCUAGGAAACUGCGGUCUUAAAAAAAAAUAUCCGAAGGCCGGUUCAAUGGAUAGUUAAAAGUUCUUAGUUUCCUAACAUGGUUCUUCUUGAAAGCCAUACUGACAGUGAAACAUUUAGUCGUAGGUUCUACAUAGAACAUUUAAAUGGUAUAAAACAAACAGAUGAAAAAUUUGAGAAAUAUUAGAAUGAGAGAAUCAGUAUAGGCUCCCUGUUUAGUGCCUGACAGUAAAACCCGAUAAGGAGCUGAACUUUAUUCAAACAUGCUAAUGUGGGUUAUAAAGGAAUGCAUGUAAAUUAAACAUCAUGUAAAAUGAAAAAGUUGUUUGUCUGAAAUAUCUUCAAUUUACUGUACAGCAUUUCAGCAUGACGUUGUAGCUACUCUAGUUCAGUGCCCUAUUGCCCCCCAAGUAGUGGCAGGUUGAUCGGAUGAUUAUUUCUUUGAGAGAA